UGAGGAAUAUUGGGCAAUGGGGGCAACCCUGACCCAGCCAUGCCGCGUGAGUGAAGAAGGUUUUCGAAUUGUAAAGCUCUUUCGGAUGUGACGAUGAUGACGGUAGCAUCUAAAGAAGCCCCGGCAAACUUCGUGCCAGCAGCCGCGGUAAUACGAAGGGGGCGAGCGUUGUUCGGAAUUACUGGGCGUAAAAGGGGUGUGUAGGUGGACGUGUAAGAUAGCGGUGAAAUGCCGGAGCUCAACUUCGGAAUUGCCAUUAUAACUAUGCGUCUAGAAUUAUAGAGAGGAUAGCGGAAUACCCAGUGUAGAGGUGAAAUUCGUAGAUAUUGGGUAGAACACCAGUGGCGAAGGCGGCUAUCUGGCUAUAUAUUGACACUGAGGCACGAAAGCAUGGGGAUCAAACAGGAUUAGAUACCC
This 417-nucleotide ribosomal RNA is filed under the name uncultured bacterium. RNAcentral's name for it is "bacterial SSU rRNA". It matches the Rfam family "Bacterial small subunit ribosomal RNA", at positions 355 to 787 of the family's 1533-position model. The record is from RNAcentral.